GGGCGUUUAGCGCAGUGGUAGCGCGCAUGCUUUGCACUCUUCGAAUUGCUUGCCUGAGGUCCAGGUUUCGAUCACCUAAACGUCCA
Molecule: non-coding RNA, 86 nt
Organism: Hymenopellis radicata
Lineage: Eukaryota; Fungi; Basidiomycota; Agaricomycetes; Agaricales; Physalacriaceae
Source: the annotation of a GenBank genome assembly